AGUGGUGUAGUUCAUUGAUAGAGCACUUGUCUGGAGUGCACAAGGUUCUGGGUUUGAUCCCCAGCACUACUA
Molecule: transfer RNA, 72 nt
Filed under: Cavia porcellus (domestic guinea pig)
Lineage: Eukaryota; Metazoa; Chordata; Mammalia; Rodentia; Caviidae
Rfam family: tRNA
About the family: Transfer RNA (tRNA) molecules are approximately 80 nucleotides in length. Their secondary structure includes four short double-helical elements and three loops (D, anti-codon, and T loops). Further hydrogen bonds mediate the characteristic L-shaped molecular structure. tRNAs have two regions of fundamental functional importance: the anti-codon, which is responsible for specific mRNA codon recognition, and the 3' end, to which the tRNAs corresponding amino acid is attached (by aminoacyl-tRNA synthetases). tRNAs cope with the degeneracy of the genetic code in two manners: having more than one tRNA (with a specific anti-codon) for a particular amino acid; and 'wobble' base-pairing, i.e. permitting non-standard base-pairing at the 3rd anti-codon position.
Source: Rfam by way of RNAcentral